Long non-coding RNA from Lucilia cuprina (Australian sheep blowfly), 782 nucleotides. RefSeq lists it as uncharacterized. The record is from RefSeq and is a predicted model, not a curated record. The transcript has 2 exons. Lineage: Eukaryota; Metazoa; Arthropoda; Insecta; Diptera; Calliphoridae.
UUGCAAAAAAAGGGCCAAUGCGCUUUUUAACGAAUUGUAAGGAUCAGUUUAACGCGAAUUACGGUUACGAAAGGAUGCCAAUGCAUAGAACGUAAUAAACGUGUUUUUUGUUUAAAGUGUGUGUUGUUUAUUUUCUCAUACUUAAAAAGAAUUAAAAAAAAGAGGAAAGAAAAAUUUUUAAAAAUUAACAAAAAAAACUAAAUCAAAAAAAGAAAUAUUUAAAACCAUUUUUUUCCUAAAACAUAAUUUUAAUUUCCAAAAUUUUCAAAAUAAGUUUAAAUUCAAAUUGUGCUAAAUCAUAUCAAUAAAAGAAAAAUUCAAAUUCUCAAAGCAAUUCAAACGAUUUUGUUAAGGAAUUUGUAAAAGAAAACCUAAACUGACCUAUCUCAAGCCUGUAACGCUAAUUAAUCAUAAAAAACAUUAAAAACAACAACCAUUAAGCCAAAAGUAAAAUAAACUGUUAAAAUUAAUAAAAACAAAAAAAAAAUUAUAAGUUAACGCCUACAGGUAUGCUUUAGUUUAAAUCAAAUUAUUAACUAAAUGUGUUAUCUACAGCAAGGUUAAUUAAAUCAAUACGCCUUUUUUUUGGUUAAACACAUAUUUUGAGGCGACAUAAUGUGUUGAACAUUUUAGGUGCAAAUCAAUCAAGUGAAAUAGGUUAUAAUGGAAGCUUAAUUUGUCUAGCUAAAACGCCUAUUGUUGAAAAUAAAUUAAAAAAAAAACGAAAUAGAACAAGAAGAUUUAAAAAAAAGUAAAAAAUUAAUUUAAACUGGAGCAGACAA